AACCACUACUUAAAGAACUGUUGGCGACACAUCCUGGGCUAGAGUUCUUGCAAACCACACCUGAAUUCCAGGAAAGAUAUGCUGAAACCGUCACCUACCGAAUAUUUUACUACA
Non-coding RNA from Camelina sativa (false flax), 114 nucleotides. The record is from RefSeq and is a predicted model, not a curated record. Lineage: Eukaryota; Viridiplantae; Streptophyta; Magnoliopsida; Brassicales; Brassicaceae.